AAUUGUUCUCUCUAAAAUUAAGUGAACGGUCGAAUCAUUGACAAUAAAUUCAACUCGCGCUUAGAAAGGGUUAAUAAAGCGGAAAUUUACUUGAAUGCUCUUAUCCAUUAAACACUUUUUGUGGCCUUUGGUUGUGAUUUGAGUGAAUGGCUGGACUUUACUUUUUAAAUUGAUCUAAGUCUUUAGGGUCAUAUUUAUUUGCAGUGCAAAUGCAGUAUUUUAAAGGGCAUUUUUUAUGAGUAUUUCAAACCUUGCUGACAUUGUUCGACGUCAACAAUGACGCGGGUGGAUAUGCGAAGAUGACGGUCGUCUUCGCCAGACUUCAAAUCGUCAUUUAUUGUUUCAUGGAGGCAUUGUUAAGUUUUCAUUGUCUAUAUAAACUAGUGUAUGACUUAACGCUUUUCGAAAGUAAUUAGUAAACGAUAAGAGAAAGAUGUAGACACUUUACACGGAGACGUUGGGAUUAAACACUGGAAGGACAGAGAUAAUGCAGAAUUGUCGCGUAUCACCAAUGCAAAUUAGCAAGUUUGGACGUUUUUUCUCUGAGAUAGA
Long non-coding RNA from Hermetia illucens (black soldier fly), 552 nucleotides. RefSeq lists it as uncharacterized. The transcript is spliced from 3 exons. NCBI's taxonomy places the organism in Eukaryota, Metazoa, Arthropoda, Insecta, Diptera, Stratiomyidae. The record is from RefSeq and is a predicted model, not a curated record.